GGGUGAGUAACACGUAGGGAACCUGCCCGCGCACCGGGAAUACGCUCUGGAAACGGAGAACAAAUCCCGAUGUACAGGAAGGAGGCAUCUUCUUUCUGUGAAACAUCCUUUAGGGGAUGGGGCGCGGAUGGACCUGCGGUGCAUUAGUUGGUUGGCGGGGUAAAGGCCCACCAAGACGAUGAUGCAUAGCCGGCCUGAGAGGGCGGACGGCCACAUUGGGACUGAGACACGGCCCAGACUCCUGCGGGAGGCAGCAGUAGGGAAUUUUCGUCAAUGGGCGCAAGCCUGAACGAGCGAUGCCGCGUGAGUGAAGAAGGCCUUCGGGUCGUAAAGCUCUGUUGCGGGGGAAAAAAGGCAGCAUCAGGAAAUGGGUGCUGACUGAUGGUGCCCCGCCAGAAAGUCACGGCUAACUACGUGCCAGCAGCCGCGGUAAUACGUAGGUGGCGAGCGUUAUCCGGAAUGAUUGGGCGUAAAGGGUGCGCAGGCGGUCCUGCAAGUCUGGAGUGAAACGCAUGAGCUCAACUCAUGCAUGGCUUUGGAAACUGGAGGACUGGAGAGCAGGAGAGGGCGGUGGAACUCCACGUGUAGCGGUAAAAUGCGUAGAUAUAUGGAAGAACACCAGUGGCGAAGGCGGCCGCCUGGCCUGUUGCUGACGCUGAGGCACGAAAGCGUGGGGAGCAAAUAGGAUUAGAUACCCUAGUAGUCCACGCCGUAAACGAUGAGGACCAAGUGUUGG
Molecule: ribosomal RNA, 736 nt
Filed under: uncultured bacterium
Lineage: Bacteria
Description: bacterial SSU rRNA
Rfam family: Bacterial small subunit ribosomal RNA
Source: RNAcentral